This 1528-nucleotide ribosomal RNA is filed under the name Klebsiella pneumoniae. RNAcentral describes it as "bacterial SSU rRNA". It matches the Rfam family "Bacterial small subunit ribosomal RNA". Lineage: Bacteria; Pseudomonadati; Pseudomonadota; Gammaproteobacteria; Enterobacterales; Enterobacteriaceae. The record is from RNAcentral.
AGAGUUUGAUCAUGGCUCAGAUUGAACGCUGGCGGCAGGCCUAACACAUGCAAGUCGAGCGGUAGCACAGAGAGCUUGCUCUCGGGUGACGAGCGGCGGACGGGUGAGUAAUGUCUGGGAAACUGCCUGAUGGAGGGGGAUAACUACUGGAAACGGUAGCUAAUACCGCAUAACGUCGCAAGACCAAAGUGGGGGACCUUCGGGCCUCAUGCCAUCAGAUGUGCCCAGAUGGGAUUAGCUAGUAGGUGGGGUAACGGCUCACCUAGGCGACGAUCCCUAGCUGGUCUGAGAGGAUGACCAGCCACACUGGAACUGAGACACGGUCCAGACUCCUACGGGAGGCAGCAGUGGGGAAUAUUGCACAAUGGGCGCAAGCCUGAUGCAGCCAUGCCGCGUGUGUGAAGAAGGCCUUCGGGUUGUAAAGCACUUUCAGCGGGGAGGAAGGCGUUAAGGUUAAUAACCUCAGCGAUUGACGUUACCCGCAGAAGAAGCACCGGCUAACUCCGUGCCAGCAGCCGCGGUAAUACGGAGGGUGCAAGCGUUAAUCGGAAUUACUGGGCGUAAAGCGCACGCAGGCGGUCUGUCAAGUCGGAUGUGAAAUCCCCGGGCUCAACCUGGGAACUGCAUUCGAAACUGGCAGGCUAGAGUCUUGUAGAGGGGGGUAGAAUUCCAGGUGUAGCGGUGAAAUGCGUAGAGAUCUGGAGGAAUACCGGUGGCGAAGGCGGCCCCCUGGACAAAGACUGACGCUCAGGUGCGAAAGCGUGGGGAGCAAACAGGAUUAGAUACCCUGGUAGUCCACGCCGUAAACGAUGUCGAUUUGGAGGUUGUGCCCUUGAGGCGUGGCUUCCGGAGCUAACGCGUUAAAUCGACCGCCUGGGGAGUACGGCCGCAAGGUUAAAACUCAAAUGAAUUGACGGGGGCCCGCACAAGCGGUGGAGCAUGUGGUUUAAUUCGAUGCAACGCGAAGAACCUUACCUGGUCUUGACAUCCACAGAACUUUCCAGAGAUGGAUUGGUGCCUUCGGGAACUGUGAGACAGGUGCUGCAUGGCUGUCGUCAGCUCGUGUUGUGAAAUGUUGGGUUAAGUCCCGCAACGAGCGCAACCCUUAUCCUUUGUUGCCAGCGGUCCGGCCGGGAACUCAAAGGAGACUGCCAGUGAUAAACUGGAGGAAGGUGGGGAUGACGUCAAGUCAUCAUGGCCCUUACGACCAGGGCUACACACGUGCUACAAUGGCAUAUACAAAGAGAAGCGACCUCGCGAGAGCAAGCGGACCUCAUAAAGUAUGUCGUAGUCCGGAUUGGAGUCUGCAACUCGACUCCAUGAAGUCGGAAUCGCUAGUAAUCGUAGAUCAGAAUGCUACGGUGAAUACGUUCCCGGGCCUUGUACACACCGCCCGUCACACCAUGGGAGUGGGUUGCAAAAGAAGUAGGUAGCUUAACCUUCGGGAGGGCGCUUACCACUUUGUGAUUCAUGACUGGGGUGAAGUCGUAACAAGGUAACCGUAGGGGAACCUGCGGUUGGAUCACCU